UAAGCGAUAUAGAUAUACUUGCUCGGGCUAAAAUAGCAACUUAAAAAUUCAAUUUCUCAAUAAAUAUUGCUAGUCGCCAAAAAUCCUUUUAGGGGAAGUCUUAUAUUGUUAUAAAGAAGCAGUAUGCAAAAUUUCAGCUCAAAAUUCGGUUUCCGCUUUUCGAAAGUUUAUCCAACCUCGAAACUUCGACGGCUUCAAAACAUAUUAAAUUUGUAGAUAACUCGGAUUCUUUCUAUUCUACACGUUUCAGGAGGGUUUAAUUGGACUUUGCAGAAAAAAGUUAUUUUUUUAUACACUGUUUAAAUAUGGAAAAAAUGCAAUUGAAUGUUGACAAAAUACGCGUUGAGAACCGCUUUUAGAAAGAGACGCACUGUAUGCUUUGCCGUUCGCACUCAUAGAGAGGUCCUCUCUAUCGUCCGGCAUACAUGCGACAAAAUACGAUAGGCUCGGAAACACAAGUCCGUAGCGUCUGUAAAUCUGAACACUGAAAAGCGUAGGGGCAGAACAAACAACAUACUUGGAUGCUAGCUGGUGCACCGACUUCCCAAACUUUGAUGCACCGAUCUUUGGCAACGGUGUAACGUCUCUUGUCCGAUCUUUGAAGGACAAUUGCACAAAUAGUGGAAUGAUGAUCAUGAAGGAUCAUGCUCGGGUUUUGCGUUACGAAAGGAUUCCACAUGCGAACGGUACAAUCGGGACCUCCGGUCAACAACAAUUGAGUUUCUUUGGGAAAAGUCAAACAUUUUUCAUCAGGACUACGAUCGACGAUUGUCAGGUUUUCCAAUGAUUCAUAUCGAACCUUCGCAAAAGUGACUGUAAAAGGACGUGUUGCUUUGGAUAUGGGGACCCAUGAGCUCUUGAUAACGGAGCUCGUACAGAAAUUUACUGGCCAAUUUGCAGCCCGCAGAAAUAGCAGCGCUUUUGUCAGCGUUGGUCUUUCAGCGUGGCGGUGAUAACACGUUGUCGCAACUUCCGCUUUUAAAAGAGAGUUGCCAAAUGAUGGAAUCAGUGAGAGGGGAAAUCGAGCAAAUGGAACAAAAGUAUGGGGUUGAACCGGUGGAACCUUUGAAUUUUGACCUCGUCGAGGUCGUCUAUGAAUGGGCAAGGGCCGAAUCGUUCUCUAAAAUAAUGGAGCUACCUAAUAUCCAAGAGAGAAUAAUAGUGCUAUGCAUACAAUUGAACGAUACUUUGUGAGAGGUUAAAACUGCCGUGACGAGGAUCGGUUAAACUGUGCUGAAGGAAAAAAUGGAAGAAGCAUCGACAGCGGUCAGAAGAAAUAAUGUUUUUACAGCUUCUUUGUAUACCCAUGAUUGAAAUUUUUUUACACACGCGUUUAUAACGAACAGUUUUAUUCUAUCAGAAUUAUAUAACCGACCAAUUCGCGACGAAAUGUUCAAAAUUCUUGAAAUGUUCUUGCAUUUUUGUACAUGUUCAAAAUUCAGAGAUAUUCAAAUAGAAGAACAAUUUUGAUAAAAAUGUCUUUUAGCUCGAUGAAAAUGGUCAGUUUCGGAAAAAAAAAGAAAAAAUGGUCGUCUUGAAUGUUCCAAAUGAGAGUUUGUUCAGAAAAUCAAGAAAUUUUACAUUAUUGAAAAUAAUGAUUCGAAACAUAAAAAAGGUGUCUGGAUUUCCGCAUAUUUUGAUGUUAAAAUUCUGAUGGAGUAAAAUUUCAAUCGAGACACGUUCUCGGAAAAAAUACGUCGUGUCGACGAUGAAAAUAUUUUCAACGUGGAAAGUGAUAUCGUGACAAAUAAAAGUGACUCUUUUAACGAAUAA
This is a long non-coding RNA of Venturia canescens, 1773 nucleotides long. RefSeq lists it as uncharacterized. Lineage: Eukaryota; Metazoa; Arthropoda; Insecta; Hymenoptera; Ichneumonidae. The transcript is spliced from 4 exons. The record is from RefSeq and is a predicted model, not a curated record.